GUGGGGAAUUUUGGACAAUGGGCGCAAGCCUGAUCCAGCAAUGCCGCGUGCAGGAAGAAGGCCUUCGGGUUGUAAACUGCUUUUGUACGGAACGAAACGGUCCUGGCUAAUACCUGGGGCUAAUGACGGUACCGUAAGAAUAAGCACCGGCUAACUACGUGCCAGCAGCCGCGGUAAUACGUAGGGUGCGAGCGUUAAUCGGAAUUACUGGGCGUAAAGCGUGCGCAGGCGGUGCUGUAAGACAGGCGUGAAAUCCCCGGGCUCAACCUGGGAAUUGCGCUUGUGACUGCAGUGCUGGAGUGCGGCAGAGGGGGAUGGAAUUCCGCGUGUAGCAGUGAAAUGCGUAGAUAUGCGGAGGAACACCGAUGGCGAAGGCAAUCCCCUGGACCUGUACUGACGCUCAUGCACGAAAGCGUGGGGAGCAAACAGGAUUAGAAACCCUGGUAGUCC
This 450-nucleotide ribosomal RNA is filed under the name uncultured bacterium. RNAcentral's name for it is "partial 16S ribosomal RNA". It matches the Rfam family "Bacterial small subunit ribosomal RNA", at positions 354 to 796 of the family's 1533-position model. The record is from RNAcentral.